UAGGGAAUCUUCCACAAUGGACGCAAGUCUGAUGGAGCAACGCCGCGUGAGUGAAGAAGGUUUUCGGAUCGUAAAGCUCUGUUGUUGGUGAAGAAGGAUAGAGGCAGUAACUGGUCUUUAUUUGACGGUAAUCAACCAGAAAGUCACGGCUAACUACGUGCCAGCAGCCGCGGUAAUACGUAGGUGGCAAGCGUUGUCCGGAUUUAUUGGGCGUAAAGCGAGCGCAGGCGGAAUGAUAAGUCUGAUGUGAAAGCCCACGGCUCAACCGUGGAACUGCAUCGGAAACUGUCAUUCUUGAGGGCAGAAGAGGAGAGUGGAAUUCCAUGUGUAGCGGUGGAAUGCGUAGAUAUAUGGAAGAACACCAGUGGCGAAGGCGGCUCUCUGGUCUGCAACUGACGCUGAGGCUCGAAAGCAUGGGUAGCGAACAGG
This 429-nucleotide ribosomal RNA is filed under the name bacterium. Its description in RNAcentral is "partial 16S ribosomal RNA". It matches the Rfam family "Bacterial small subunit ribosomal RNA", at positions 355 to 776 of the family's 1533-position model. RNAcentral also lists the same sequence under 1 other name. The record is from RNAcentral.